RNAcentral lists this non-coding RNA (30 nucleotides) under Rattus norvegicus (Norway rat). Lineage: Eukaryota; Metazoa; Chordata; Mammalia; Rodentia; Muridae. The record is from RNAcentral.
UAGGUAGCAGAUACUUGGCUCAUGGAGCGU